UGAGCAAUCUGCCCUUCUCUUUGGAAUAAGCGUGGGAAACCGCGUCUAAUGCCGAAUACGACCUCCUUUCGCAUGAUCGGAGGUGGAAAGCUCCGGCGGAGAAGGAUGAGCUCGCGGCCUAUCAGCUAGUUGGUGUGGGUAAUGGCCCACCAAGGCGACGACGGGUAGCCGGCCUGAGAGGGUGACCGGCCACACUGGGACUGAGACACGGCCCAGACCUCCGUACGGGAGG
This 232-nucleotide ribosomal RNA is filed under the name uncultured bacterium. Its description in RNAcentral is "partial 16S ribosomal RNA". It matches the Rfam family "Bacterial small subunit ribosomal RNA", at positions 118 to 347 of the family's 1533-position model. The record is from RNAcentral.